CAAGAGCGUAUAUUAAAGUUGUUGCAGUUAAAAGCUCGUAGUUGGAUUUCUGGUACAACGCGCCUGGCCCGCUUUGUUGAGUGCGGUGCGCUGUUUGCCAUCCUUCUAGAAAACGUCUCUACUCGGGCAACUGAGCCGGAUUCGCGAUCUAGAUCUUUACUUUUGAAAAUUAGAGUGUUUAAAGCAGGCUAUUGCCUUGAAUACAUUAGCAUGGAAUAAUAAUCUAGGACUUCGGUUCUAUUUUGUUGGUUUCUAGUACUGAAGUAAUGAUUGAUAGGGAUAGUUGGGGGUGCUAGUAUUGACCGGCCAGAGGUGAAAUUCU
Molecule: ribosomal RNA, 322 nt
Filed under: uncultured eukaryote
Lineage: Eukaryota
Description: SSU rRNA
Rfam family: Eukaryotic small subunit ribosomal RNA
Source: RNAcentral